GUCCGCCUCAUCAGCUAUGAAGUCUGUGAAUCCUGGGAGAAUCAGGAAGUCGUCGUAGGUGAGGCAGUCGGCGCUGGCAAAGAGCUGCUGCGCGGGGAGCCAGUUAUCGGGCACAUAGUCGGUGCCGCCCCUGAUCAGACUGGUGCACAAAGACUCCAUCUAACAGCUACCCGUAUUUCCUGACAGUGACUCUGAAAGGUAUCCCAAUACCUAAAUAUACAGAAAUUACUGGAAGAAAUAUUCAAUCUGGUGUGAUAUACUAGGUGAAUGUAUCAUAAGAAUUUCUGUUCCUUACAAAAUUGUGAAUGCAAAGUUUUAGGAAUUAUAUUGGCUAUAUGAUACUGAUCUUUGAUAUCUUUGUACCUUAAAGCAAGAUUUUCUUAGUGAACACUGGCAUUCACAGUAUUGUUUUUUCUCUGGCUAUAUCAAGAGCUUUAGUUGUUUUUUGUUAAAUGAAAAGAAUGAAGAGACUAUCUUUCAGACUUAAAAGUUAAAGUUCUGUGUGCAGACUUUCAUGUCAUGUAGAAAAAGGAAAUAAAGGGAGUUA
This 547-nucleotide long non-coding RNA is filed under the name Homo sapiens (human). Its description in RNAcentral is "HSALNT0044656". Lineage: Eukaryota; Metazoa; Chordata; Mammalia; Primates; Hominidae. The record is from RNAcentral.